CGGACGGGUGAGUAACACGUGGAUAACCUACCUAUAAGACUGGGAUAACUUCGGGAAACCGGAGCUAAUACCGGAUAAUAUAUUGAACCGCAUGGUUCAAUAGUGAAAGACGGUUUUGCUGUCACUUAUAGAUGGAUCCGCGCCGCAUUAGCUAGUUGGUAAGGUAACGGCUUACCAAGGCAGCGAUGCGUAGCCGACCUGAGAGGGUGAUCGGCCACACUGGAACUGAGACACGGUCCAGACUCCUACGGGAGGCAGCAGUU
This 263-nucleotide ribosomal RNA is filed under the name uncultured Staphylococcus sp. RNAcentral describes it as "partial 16S ribosomal RNA". It matches the Rfam family "Bacterial small subunit ribosomal RNA", at positions 99 to 355 of the family's 1533-position model. The record is from RNAcentral. Lineage: Bacteria; Bacillati; Bacillota; Bacilli; Caryophanales; Staphylococcaceae.